GACGAACGCUGGCGGCGUGCCUAAUACAUGCAAGUUGAGCGCUGAAGGUUGGUCCUUGUACCAACUGGGUGAGCAGCGCACGGGUGAGUAACGCGUGGGGAAUCUGCCUUUGAGCGGGGGACAACAUUUGGAAACGAAUGCUAAUACCGCAUAAAAACUUUAAACACAAGUUUUAAGUGUGAAAGAUGCAAUUGCAUCACUCAAAGAUGAUCCCGCGUUGUAUUAGCUUGUUGGUGAGGUAAAGGCUCACCAAGGCGAGGAUACAUAGCCGACCUGAGAGGGUGAGCGGCCACAUUGGGACUGAGACACGGCCCAAAAGGCCUCGGGAGGCAGCCGUAGGGAAUCUUCGGCAAUGGACGAAAGUCUGACCGAGCAACGCCGCGUGAGUGAAGAAGGUUUUCGGAUCGGAAAACUCGGUUUGUAGAGAAGAACGUGGGUGAGAGUGGAAAGCUCAUCAAGUGACGGUAACUACACAGAAAGGGACGGCUAACUACGUG
This 497-nucleotide ribosomal RNA is filed under the name uncultured bacterium. Its description in RNAcentral is "partial 16S ribosomal RNA". It matches the Rfam family "Bacterial small subunit ribosomal RNA", at positions 28 to 507 of the family's 1533-position model. The record is from RNAcentral.